AUACGUAGGGGGCGAGCGUUGUCCGGAAUGAUUGGGCGUAAAGGGCGCGUAGGCGGCCCGGUAAGUCUGGAGUGAAAGUCCUGUUUUUAAGAUGGGAAUUGCUUUGGAUACUGUCGGGCUUGAGUGCAGGAGAGGUUAUCGGAAUUCCCGGUGUAGCGGUGAAAUGCGUAGAGAUCGGGAGGAACACCAGUGGCGAAGGCGGGUAACUGGACUGCAACUGACGCUGAGGCGCGAAAGCGUGGGGAGCAAACAGGAUUAGAUACCCUGGUAGUCCACGCCCUAAACGAUGAAUACUAGGUGUGGGGGGACUGACCCCUUCCGUGCCGGAGUAAACACAAUAAGUAUUCCACCUGGGGAGUACGACCGCAAGGUUGAAACUUAAAGGAAUUGACGGGG
RNAcentral lists this ribosomal RNA (396 nucleotides) under uncultured bacterium. RNAcentral describes it as "partial 16S ribosomal RNA". It matches the Rfam family "Bacterial small subunit ribosomal RNA", at positions 523 to 918 of the family's 1533-position model. The record is from RNAcentral.